This 497-nucleotide ribosomal RNA is filed under the name uncultured bacterium. RNAcentral describes it as "partial 16S ribosomal RNA". It matches the Rfam family "Bacterial small subunit ribosomal RNA", at positions 28 to 507 of the family's 1533-position model. The record is from RNAcentral.
GAUGAACGCUGGCGGCGUGCCUAAUACAUGCAAGUCGAGCGAACGGACGAGAAGCUUGCUUCUCUGAUGUUAGCGGCGGACGGGUGAGUAACACGUGGAUAACCUACCUAUAAGACUGGGAUAACUUCGGGAAACCGGAGCUAAUACCGGAUAAUAUUUUGAACCGCAUGGUUCAAAAGUAAAAGACGGUCUUGCUGUCACUUAUAGAUGGAUCCGCGCUGCAUUAGCUAGUUGGUAAGGUAACGGCUUACCAAGGCAACGAUGCAUAGCCGACCUGAGAGGGUGAUCGGCCACACUGGAACUGAGACACGGUCCAGACUCCUACGGGAGGCAGCAGUAGGGAAUCUUCCGCAAUGGGCGAAAGCCUGACGGAGCAACGCCGCGUGAGUGAUGAAGGUCUUCGGAUCGUAAAACUCUGUUAUUAGGGAAGAACAUAUGUGUAAGUAACUGUGCACAUCUUGACGGUACCUAAUCAGAAAGCCACGGCCAACUACGUG